Molecule: long non-coding RNA, 1993 nt
Organism: Hevea brasiliensis (rubber tree)
Lineage: Eukaryota; Viridiplantae; Streptophyta; Magnoliopsida; Malpighiales; Euphorbiaceae
Exons: 3
Source: RefSeq, a predicted model, not a curated record
UGAUGCCACUUGAAAAAAUGGUAAUUUCUCCUACAAAUAAUCAUCCAAUUAAACACUAAAAAAUUUUCACACUGGAUUUUUGUAAUAUUCCUCCUCGCAACAGCCUCGUUCUUCCUAAAAAUAAAGGCUUUGAUCAAAUUGAGAGAUGUAGCUGCACUAGUCUAAUAUUUUUGCAAGCAUAAGUAUUUCUAAAUGUUUUGAUCAUCGUUUUAUGCUUCUCAUUCAUCCAUGGCACAGCUUCAUCAGCUUACUUCCAACGAUUACCAAAUAUUAUGGGACUUGAAUCUGACAAAAACUUUUGAAAGCUCUAUCAGCUGGUAUUGAUAAUAUUUCCAAGUAGAUUCUGUAGAAGGUGUACAAUUUACCUGUAGAUGACUCUUUAGAUGAUACAAGGUAAGUCCUGGAAUCCCCAUAAGUUUCAUAACUGCUUUUGGAGUAGCUUCUGCAAGGAAAAAGAACAAUGGUUGAAUAUGCGGAACUUACUAUUAUUUACUUUAAUUUAGGAUUUUUAAGUUUUUCUAGUAUACUCACUGUCCGCUCCUCCAAGCUGAUUGACUGCUUCUAUGAACCGUUCGUGGAGAUCUGGUGUCCAUUUUAGUCGAGGCUUUGCAUCAGUUGAGAGGACAAGUCCAGAAUCUCCAGGACCAUUCCCACCUUGCAGGAAUAAAUGCCUAUCGGGGGGGAUUGGCAUUCUCGCAGAGGAGUGGAUGCUCUUUCCUUGGUGUUGAUGAUGAUGAUACAUCUCUAUCUAUUAAAAUCCCAAUUCAAGUUUAACUUGAAAUGGAAGCAGUAAAAGUGUAACUAUUGUUGUUAAGAUCAGUGGUGUUUUUACCUGAUGCCUUGUUUUUUUUUUUUUUUUUUGUGCUCUCUUGAUCCAAUCUUUUACUCCCUAAAAUGUUGAACUUGAUCAUGCAAUGUUCUUCAGGGAAAAUUCGAUGUCCUAAUACUUCUAAGCAAAAUUUUCUCAACUUCCCUUGCCUAUUUCUUCUCUCCUUUGUUUGAUGCUCACAAACCAAAGAUCUGAAGGUGGCUUUUUAUAAAGCCAACUGGGGCAAGGAAGGUCGGUGAGGCACAGAAUCUUGGAUGGGGUUGAUGGAAAACCUGACCCAAUCCGACCCAAUCCAAUAUUCACAGUGACUUGAAAAGAGAGAUUGCUUCUUACUUUGUUUAGCUGUGGGGCCUCUCUUCUAACUCCAAUUUCUAUUGGCAGAUGGGUUGUUUUAACUGGUUAUAUUUGGAGGAUUUAGAAGAAGAUUCUGUUGACUGGUGCACCUGGAAACUUUGGAAUAAGAUACAAAACAAGAAAAGGGAAAAAAAAAAAGGUUGAAAGAUGCUUGUCCUUGGACAUUGUUUGAAGGCAACGAAUGGAAUAAGGAAUACAUUCUCUUUUGUCUCCUUCAGUAAGUUUGGUACUUAUUCAGCCCACAUAGUAUAAAAUAGAAUGGGCCCAAUUCUUUUUCAUCAUCAAUUGGAAUAAGACAGCCAGCUCUGCACCGACGAAACCUAAGCAUCUGGGACCCAAUGAAAAGAAAAGAGAAGGAUUGUACUUGCUUCCAUACUUACAUUUGAUUAAGGAAAAGACAAUUCUUGCCCUGGAAAUGACUACCUGCCCACGACUCCUGCCUCCAUUGGCCAGAUUCUCUUGUAUGAAUCUAUACACUCAUAUUUCGCUACUUGAUUAUUGUUUUAUGUUAUUUUGAUUCUUUUUUUUUUAAUUUUUUUUAAUCAAGACUUCUUAAGCAUUGCUAUAUUUAUAACUUCUCAUUGAAUGACUGUAUGAACAGAUGAGCUCAUUAUUGUUGUUUUCUAUAAUUUUGCAUGGAUUUGCUCAGAAGAUAUGUAGAAUAUAUGCACCAUAGGCACCAUAUAAUUUUGCAUGGCUUUGCAGGGAAGAUAUGUGGAAUAUAAUGCAUCAUGCAGAUAUGCGAACACACAUAGAGUCUCACAUUGACUUGUACAUCUGAAUAUUUUUUAAUGAAUACACAUUCGAAUU